Molecule: transfer RNA, 85 nt
Filed under: Phocaeicola vulgatus
Lineage: Bacteria; Pseudomonadati; Bacteroidota; Bacteroidia; Bacteroidales; Bacteroidaceae
Description: Bacteroides vulgatus tRNA-Ser
Rfam family: tRNA
About the family: Transfer RNA (tRNA) molecules are approximately 80 nucleotides in length. Their secondary structure includes four short double-helical elements and three loops (D, anti-codon, and T loops).
Source: RNAcentral
GGAAGUGUGGCCGAGCGGUUGAAGGCACCGGUCUUGAAAACCGGCAGACGGCAACGUCUCAAAGGUUCGAAUCCUUUAGCCUCCG